This is an RNA transcript of Brienomyrus brachyistius, 3994 nucleotides long. It is a transcript of the gene named mitochondrial pyruvate carrier 1-like, with no coding region annotated. Lineage: Eukaryota; Metazoa; Chordata; Actinopteri; Osteoglossiformes; Mormyridae. The record is from RefSeq and is a predicted model, not a curated record. The transcript is spliced from 5 exons.
UGCUGUGCAGUUUGUACAUUCCCACCGUUAAGGUAGUUUUUUUUCAUCUUGGACGGACCAAUUACAGUGGAGAAAUCCACUUAGCCCGCGAAAUCGCGGCGGCAAUGCGUCAGUUGCUGGAGUGAGGGUGUUCUUUUUGGCAGAGAUAACGAGUCUGUCGGCAAAGACUUAUUUUGCUUGUUAGUUAAUAUAUUCGUGGUUUGCGGUUGGAGUUGUGUACAGCAGGCAAAGUUAGAAAUUACAAGGAGGAUAAUGCUAGCUGACCGGGAGGAGCCAACCGCGGUUAAACUAAUUCAUCUUGCCGCCCCUCCGAAAUUCGGUGAAGAAAUUAAUUCAAACUCGUAGUCCGGUGUUGGACCCACCAGAGACACUGGAUCUAAGGCGGGGAGACGGAUCCCUCAUCGUGCUGCUGUGUGCCAUGUGGUCGGCUGUAACCAACCUCGCCAUAGGAUGUUCCCUAUCUACUCACUGGAGGUAGUGGCAGGACACCCGCUCCACCUGUCACAGGCUCCGUGACUGAGAGAAACCAUUUCAUCCAUCCAUCCAUCCAUUUUCCAAACUGCUUAUCCUACUGGGUCGCGGUAGGUCCGGAGCCUACCCCGGAAGCAAUGGGCACGAGGCAGGGAACAACCCAGGAUGGGGGGGCCAGCCCAUCAGCAUUUCUGGGCACCUAUUAUUAAUUGGGGUCUGCCCAUUGUUGCUGUGACAGACAUGAGGAAGAGCCCUGAAAUAAUCAGCGGUCGAAUGACCUUCGCUCUUUUCUGUUACUCGGUGAUUUUCACGAGGCUCUCUUAUAGAGUCCAGCCCCGAAACUGGCUCCUCUUUACUUGCCAUAUGGCCAAUGUGACGGCACGAUUGAUCCAGAAUGCAGAAAAUGUGAAAUGAGCCUUUGCGUCCAUAAAGAGAUCUCCCCUCCUUCCGAAUAAAUAAAUAUAUAUAUAUAUAUAUAUAAAUUUAUAUAUCUGUGUAUUCAUUUCUUUCAUUUUUCUUAUUAUGAAACCAUACGUGAGUAGGGGCAAUUCACUGCCCAUACAAAGUGAGAGUGGAUAACAUAUACCUAAUGAAGACUGUAGUCCUGUAUUAGACAAAAUCAUUUUAUCAUAUGGGUCAGUUACAGUUACCUACAUAAGAACAUAAGAAAUUUACAAACGAGAGGAGACGAAUCAGCCCAUCAAGCUCAUUUGGGGAGAACUUAACUAAUAGCUCAGAGUUGUUAAAAUCUUAUCUAGCUCUGAUUUAAAGGAACCCAGGGAUUUAGCUUACUACUUACUAAACUAGUAGCAAGACUAUUCCUUACUCUAAAAACAUGAUGUGUAAAAAAGUGCUUCCUCAAAUUUGUUUUAAAAUGUUCUCUCGCUAAUUUCCACUUAUGGCCACGAUCUCUAAUAUUUAAACUAAUAUUGAAAUAUUGAACAGCAUCCAGACCUGUUAGAAUCUUAUAUACCUGGAUCAUGUCCCUCUUAUUCUCCUUUACUCAAGGCUAAACGGAUUCUGCUCAGUUAACCUCUCAUAAGACAUUCCUCUAAGACCAGGAAUCAUUCUGGUACCCCUACGUUGCACCUUUUCCAAGGCAGCAAUGUCCUUCUUAAGGUAUGGUGACCAAACCUGCACACAAUUUUCUAGGUGAGGACUUACCAAGGAAUUAUAUAAUCGAGCCGUUUGUGGUGGACAACAUCAAAGGCCUUCUGCAGAACUAAGCAGAUAACAUCAUAGGCCUUUUUGUGAUCAAUUUCUUUCGUAGCUUCCUCAAAGAACUCAAGUAGAUUAGUUAAACAGGACCUACCUCUCCUAAAUCCAUGAUGGCUAUCCCUCAGAAUGUUAUUUUAAUCCAGGUAAUCUACCAUUUUCACUUGGAUUAUAGCUUCCAUUACCAUUCCAGUUAUGCAAGUUAAACUGAUUGGUUAUAGUUUGCUGGAUUACUUCUAUCCCCUUUUUUGAAUAUGGGUGUUAUAUUAGCAUGCUUCCAAUUAGAAAGUGCCACACCAGUAGAUAAGGAUUUCUCAAAUAGUAAUGUUAAAGGUUGGUUAAUAAUAUCCCUCAUCUCUUUUAAAACUACAUUUUAUACUGUAUUUAGUCCAUGUCUAAGUCCGUAUUCCCCAGAUCCGUCAUUGAUGUUCGUCGCCGUCUGCCCUGUCUUCAGUGACUAAACCCUGGUUUCCUUAAUCCUGCCUACCUGCCUUGUCCUUUCCCCGCUUCCUGCUUGCCCAUCCUCCCCGCCGAUCGCAACAGAAUGACGGACCUCCCGAAAGAAGCACUGCGGCGGGCCAAGGACCAGCGCCUUAAUCUACUGCAGGAGGUGCUUUAUUGGCUAAUUCAACUGGAGGGCCAGGAGGACCCAGCAUCCCGGGAUUUGGCCAGCCGGAGCGGGGACCUCCUGAGUGAGGCAGCCCCACUGCUGCAAGCCGGAGAAAGAAGAGGAAGCCCCAAGGAUCAUCCUGGGGGCUUGCUCUCUCUUCCCCACUUCUCUCCUUGCAAGUGAUCGGGAGGGCUCCCCAAUCAGCUCGGACGUUGCCUUCGCGGGCAGCUUCCCCCUUCCGGGGAACACGCCUGGCUCUGAAAGGGGCCAGGGCAGUAUGGGACGCUAUCCCGCGGGUUAGCGGGCUCUUAAAGGGGCAAUGCCUGCUAGUGAGGCAGCAACCCUGGAGCCCGUGCCUGUCCUACCUGUCCCACCGGCGCCUGACGUCCUUGUCCCGCCUGAUCUGCCUGUCCAGCCCGUGCCUGAUCUGCCUCUCCUGCCAGCUGCCGCACCGCCCAGCAAGGCUCUGGCCACUGCGACGGCCCUUGUUGGCCCAGAGUCAGCGGUGCCUGCGGCACCCGAGGCGCCUGCCACGGCCCCGCCUACAGCUACUGCUCCACCUGAGGCCCCUCUGCCUCCGCCAGUCCCUUCUCCGCCCGAGGCCACUCUGCCUCCACCCGUGGCUCUGCCCGUGCCUGUGACUCCUGCCCCUGUUGCCCAUGUCCCUGACCCAGCUCCAGUCCCCCCAUCACCGGUCCCAGUCCCCGAGGAGGUCCUGGACAAUCUAACCACUGCUCCUUCCUCCUUUAGGCACAUUUUCUUUUUUGUUGUUUUUUUGUUGAGGAAACACCCCAAUGCAAUUCUCAUCUUAAAUUAAUGAUGAAAUAUACAUACAGGGGGCGGCAUGGUGGUGCAGUGGUUAGGACUGUCGCCUCACACCUCUGGGACCCGGGUUCGAGUCUCCGCCUGGGUUACGUGUGUGUGGAGUUUACAUAUUCUCCCCAUGUCGUCGUGGGGUUUCCUCCGGGUACUCCGGUUUCCCCCCACAGUCCAAAAACAUGCAGAGGCUAAUUGGAUUGCUAAAUUGCCCGUAGGUGUGCAUGUGUGAGUGAAUGGCGUGUGAGUGUGCCCUACGAUGGGCUGGCCCCCAAUCCUGGGGUGUUCCCUGCCUCGUGCCCAUUGUUUCUGGCAGCUUGCUACCCUUAUGGGCCGUAUCCAGGAGGCAGGCACUGAGAUUGUGGAGGCCAAGGCUGGGGCAGGCUCUGCCACACUGGAUGGCAUAUGCAGGGGCUGGAUUCACAUUCUCUCUGCUGGAUGCUAUGAAUGACAAAGAGGGGGUGUGGAGUGUGUGUUUCUGAGGUCUGAGGAAAGUGAAAAUACUUCUCUACCCGUCUCCUCCUUAGGAGACAUGGAAUUGAGAAGAACCUGGGCCUUGGUGAGCUCUCCACCUUUGAUGAGAAGCUGGUGGCAGAAGCUUUGGGCUUGACGUUGACGGCCUCCAUCAUGUAAGGGGAGGAUUUAGUGCUGCUCAAGGGCAGCCCCACAAAAAUGGACCGUGACAACCUGGAGCAAAAGUAAAAAGACAGUCCUUCUCACGCAGGCUUUUUGCAACAUUUUCUCUGUUCUGCUUUUCUAGGAUCUAAAUAUUCCUGGAAUGAUGGGAAAGAGCAGGAUCUGGCUGUGGCUAACAUCUACUGUCCUCAAAUCUACUUUUAGUAGUCUUACAACCUACUUUUCUGUGUGUUGUUUUCUGGUGUG